RNAcentral lists this ribosomal RNA (244 nucleotides) under Salmonella enterica subsp. enterica serovar Agona str. 400095 18. RNAcentral's name for it is "partial 23S ribosomal RNA". It matches the Rfam family "Bacterial large subunit ribosomal RNA", at positions 2689 to 2925 of the family's 2925-position model. The record is from RNAcentral. Lineage: Bacteria; Pseudomonadati; Pseudomonadota; Gammaproteobacteria; Enterobacterales; Enterobacteriaceae.
GGACCGGAGUGGACGCAUCACUGGUGUUCGGGUUGUCAUGCCAAUGGCACUGCCCGGUAGCUAAAUGCGGAAGAGAUAAGUGCUGAAAGCAUCUAAGCACGAAACUUGCCCCGAGAUGAGUUCUCCCUGAGACUUAGAGUCUCCUGAAGGAACGUUGAAGACGACGACGUUGAUAGGCCGGGUGUGUAAGCGCAGCGAUGCGUUGAGCUAACCGGUACUAAUGAACCGUGAGGCUUAACCUUAC